GACGAACGCUGGCGGCGUGCCUAAUACAUGCAAGUCGAGCGGAUCUUCAUUAGCUUGCUUUUGAAGAUCAGCGGCGGACGGGUGAGUAACACGUGGGCAACCUGCCUGUAAGACUGGGAUAACUUCGGGAAACCGGAGCUAAUACCGGAUAAUUCUUUCCCUCUCAUGAGGGAAAGCUGAAAGACGGUUUCGGCUGUCACUUACAGAUGGGCCCGCGGCGCAUUAGCUAGUUGGUGAGGUAACGGCUCACCAAGGCGACGAUGCGUAGCCGACCUGAGAGGGUGAUCGGCCACACUGGGACUGAGACACGGCCCAGACUCCUACGGGAGGCAGCAGUAGGGAAUCUUCCGCAAUGGACGAAAGUCUGACGGAGCAAUGCCGCGUGGAGGUAGAAGGCCUACGGGUCGUGAACUUCUUUUCCCGGAGAAGAAGCAAUGACGGUAUCUGGGGAAUAAGCAUCGGCUAACUCUGUGCCAGCAGCCGCAGUAAUAC
This 492-nucleotide ribosomal RNA is filed under the name uncultured bacterium. RNAcentral describes it as "bacterial SSU rRNA". It matches the Rfam family "Bacterial small subunit ribosomal RNA", at positions 28 to 526 of the family's 1533-position model. The record is from RNAcentral.